GGCAAUUAAGAAGACUUGUUGAGAUUGGAGGUGUGCUCACUGAAUCCUUGGACUGCAUGACACAAGUGCUGAUGAAAGUCAAGCCAAAGAAAGCAGCCAAGGAGGGACCAGAGCGGAAGGAAGAUAUUUCCAGAUGCGAUUUGAAAUGAGAUCAUGAGUUGAUGAGGUGAAGACAUGCAGGCUGGCUGUUUAGAAGACAGGAGCUGCAGAAGGUGUCACUGCUUACAGCUUAAAGGGACAGGAACAUCAAAUAUUAAAAGUUCUACAUAUGGCACAAAAGAUUGUUUUAGAAUCUGAAAAUGUUAUAAGAAUACAGAUUUAAUUUUAAGUGGUUUUGCUGAAAAUGAUUUUCAAAAGCCCAGUAGUUGUUUUACAUGAUAUGAUGGUGCAGUGGUUGAAUCGUGGCUGCCAAAAACAUAUGUCCCCAUUCUACCCCCUAGACCUGUGAAUGCAACUUUAUUUGGAAAGAGUUCUUUGUUUUUUCUUUUAAUUAAUGAAUUAGUUAAUUAUUUCUGUGCCUGUGCUUACCCCACCCCCUUUUUUCUAACUUAAAGUUAAGAAUCUGUAGACGAGAUCAUCCUGGAUACCCCAGGUGGGUCCUAACCCCAUUGAUAAGUGUUCCAUAGCCACAAAAGAGAAUGCACAGAGACACAGAGGAGAAGGCCUUGUGAAGAAGGUGGCAGAGACUGAAGUUACACAGCUACGAGCCAAGAAAUGCCUGGAGCCACCAGACACCGGGAGAGGCAAGGGAAGUUUCUCUGCUAAGCAAUUUCAGAGGGAGCCUGGUGCUGCCAGCACUUUGAUUUUGGGCUUCUGGCCUCUAGAACUGUGAUACAAAAAAGUUUUCCUGUUGUAAGCCACUAGUUUGUUGUAGUUUGCUACAGCAGCCCUAGCAAACGAAUACAGGUGGUUGUAGCAGGAUCGUAGCACCCAGGCAGACCUGGCUGUGAAUCCUGACUCCUCCUUUUCCUAGCCUUUUGCAAGUUAUUUAGCAUAUCUAAAUAUCAGCUUUGGCAUCUGUAAAAGUGCUAAGAUACUGGCACCUGCCUCAUAGGUGUGAGGAGCAAAGGAGUCAGCAUGUGGAAAGAAUGGAACACAGUGAAUAGGUGCACAGUAACGGUGGCUGAUGUCAUUAUACAGACAAUUGUCUCCCCUACUUUAAUCCAUGUGCCCUGGUGGGCACACAUCACCCCCGUGUGCUGUCUGGGAAGGGGUUCUGUCUCAGUUCCAGAUCCACCUUUCUAUAUUCUGCUCUGCUGGGCUGGGACUCUGCUGACUACACAUCUCCUUUGCCAAUCAGGGACCCUAGGGGGAAGCCGGUUGGCACAGGAUGGGAGGAGAGACUUGGCCCUUCUGUUUGCCUGCCUGUGCUGUCAGCAGCAUCCCAGCAUUGACCUUUCACCCUGGAAGCAGCAUUGGUUCCAGUGCGUUGUGGUUUCCAGUUUCUUGCAGUACUCCUGGAACCAGCCCCAUCACAGCUGCUUUGAGGUACCAGCACGAACCAGGCAGUGCCCCCUCCACAGGAGUCUGAGUUCCAGCUUCUGAGGGGCUCCUCCUUCAAGCUGCUAGGAGCUGACGACCCCAGGCUGCUUCCUAAGUUUCCCUGCCCCUUAGAGAGGGUAGCUACUUCUUAUAUCCAGCACUAGAGGUGUUUGCUACUUCCUAAUAAGCUUUUUUUACUCAGGGUUCCCCAUUUGCCUCUCAUAUACCCCUACCCCCG
Molecule: long non-coding RNA, 1720 nt
Filed under: Homo sapiens (human)
Lineage: Eukaryota; Metazoa; Chordata; Mammalia; Primates; Hominidae
Description: HSALNT0200910
Source: RNAcentral